RNAcentral lists this ribosomal RNA (468 nucleotides) under uncultured bacterium. RNAcentral describes it as "partial 16S ribosomal RNA". It matches the Rfam family "Bacterial small subunit ribosomal RNA", at positions 28 to 507 of the family's 1533-position model. The record is from RNAcentral.
GACGAACGCUGGCGGCGUGCUUAACACAUGCAAGUCGAACGGAAAGGCCCUGCUUUUGUGGGGUGCUCGAGUGGCGAACGGGUGAGUAACACGUGAGUAACCUGCCCUUGACUUUGGGAUAACUUCAGGAAACUGGGGCUAAUACCGGAUAGGAGCUCCUGCUGCAUGGUGGGGGUUGGAAAGUUUCGGCGGUUGGGGGUGGACUCGCGGCUUAUCAGCUUGUUGGUGGGGUAGUGGCUUACCAAGGCUUUGACGGGUAGCCGGCCUGAGAGGGUGACCGGGCACAUGGGGACUGAGAGACGGCCCAGACUGCUACGGGAGGCAGCAGUGGAGAAUAUUGCAGAGUGGGCGGAAGCCUGAUGCAGCAGCGCCGCGUGCGGGAUGACGGCCUUCGGGGUGUAAACCGCUUUCGCCUGUGACGAAGCGUGAGUGACGGUAAUGGGUAAAGAAGCACCGGCUAACUACGUG